Molecule: unclassified non-coding RNA, 354 nt
Filed under: soil metagenome
Description: partial contains 5.8S ribosomal RNA, internal transcribed spacer 2, and large subunit ribosomal RNA
Rfam family: 5.8S ribosomal RNA (bases 1-120)
Source: RNAcentral
GAUGAAGAACGUAGCGAAAUGCGAUACGUAAUGUGAAUUGCAGAAUUCAGUGAAUCAUCGAGUCUUUGAACGCACAUUGCGCCCCCUGGUAUUCCGGGGGGCAUGCCUGUCCGAGCGUCAUUGCUGCCCUCAAGCACGGCUUGUGUGUUGGGCCUCCGUCCUCCUCCCGGGGGACGGGCCCGAAAGGCAGCGGCGGCACCGCGUCCGGUCCUCGAGCGUAUGGGGCUUCGUCACCCGCUCUUGAGGCCCGGCCGGCUCCGGCCCAUCAACCAUCGAGGACCCGUUCCUCAACCAGGUUGACCUCGGAUCAGGUAGGGAUACCCGCUGAACUUAAGCAUAUCAAUAAGCGGAGGA